CGCAAAAGCAAGUCAGCUAUCAACUUAUGGGUUCUAACUCAAGCGGAGUAUGGGGCCCCACCCCCCGCAAGCAGGAUAGGGGCAGUCAACUAAAAUGCUGCAAGAUUGCUUGUUGCUAGUGUAUAGAAGUACAAUUGGGGCUUCCCUGGUGGCGCAGUGGUUGAGAGUCCGCCUGCCGAUGCAGGGGACACGGGUUCGUGCCCUGGUCCGGGAAGAUCCCACAUGCCGCAGAGUGGCUGGGCCCGUGAGCCAUGGCCGCUGAGCCUGCGCGUCCGGAGCCUGUGCUCCGCAACGGGAGAGGCCACAACAGUGAGAGGCCCGCGUACCGCAAAAAAAAAAAAAAAAAAAAAAAAAAAAGAAGAA
Long non-coding RNA from Orcinus orca (killer whale), 363 nucleotides. RefSeq lists it as uncharacterized. The record is from RefSeq and is a predicted model, not a curated record. NCBI's taxonomy places the organism in Eukaryota, Metazoa, Chordata, Mammalia, Artiodactyla, Delphinidae. The transcript has 2 exons.